This 433-nucleotide ribosomal RNA is filed under the name uncultured bacterium. RNAcentral describes it as "bacterial SSU rRNA". It matches the Rfam family "Bacterial small subunit ribosomal RNA", at positions 200 to 628 of the family's 1533-position model. The record is from RNAcentral.
UCGAAAGACCUUAUGCUUUUGGAGCGGCCGAUGUCUGAUUAGCUAGUUGGUAAGGUAAUGGCUUACCAAGGCGACGAUCAGUAGUUGGUCUGAGAGGACGACCAGCCACACUGGGACUGAGACACGGCCCAGACUCCUACGGGAGGCAGCAGUGGGGAAUUUUGGACAAUGGGCGCAAGCCUGAUCCAGCAAUGCCGCGUGAGUGAAGAAGGCCUUCGGGUUGUAAAGCUCUUUCAGUCGAGAAGAAAAGGCUGUGACUAAUAAUCAUAGCUCAUGACGGUAUCGACAGAAGAAGCACCGGCUAACUACGUGCCAGCAGCCGCGGUAAUACGUAGGGUGCAAGCGUUAAUCGGAAUUACUGGGCGUAAAGGGUGCGCAGGCGGUUUUGUAAGUCAGAUGUGAAAUCCCCGGGCUUAACCUGGGAACUGCGUUU